This 497-nucleotide ribosomal RNA is filed under the name uncultured bacterium. Its description in RNAcentral is "partial 16S ribosomal RNA". It matches the Rfam family "Bacterial small subunit ribosomal RNA", at positions 28 to 507 of the family's 1533-position model. The record is from RNAcentral.
GAUGAACGCUGGCGGCGUGCCUAAUACAUGCAAGUCGAGCGAACAGACGAGGUGCUUGCUCCUUUGACGUUAGCGGCGGACGGGUGAGUAACAUGUGGGUAACCUACCUAUAAGACUGGGAUAACUUCGGGAAACCGGUGCUAAUACCGGAUAAUAUUUUGAACCGCAUGGUUCGAUAGUGAAAGAUGGUUUUGCUAUCACUUCUAGAUGGACCCGCGCCGUAUUAGUUAGUUGGUAAGGUAACGGCUUACCAAGGCAACGAUGCGUAGCCGACCUGAGAGGGUGAUCGGCCACACUGGAACUGAGACACGGUACAGAGUCCUACGGGAGGCAGAAGUAGGGAAUCUAGCGAAAUGGGCGAAAGCUUGACGGAGCAACGGCGCGUGGGUGAUGAAGGGCUUCGGAUCGUAAAACGCUGUUAUUAGGGAAAAACAAACGUGUAAGUAACUAUGCACGUCUUGACGGUACCUAAACAGAAAGCAACGGCUAACUACGUG